This 1002-nucleotide long non-coding RNA is filed under the name Capsicum annuum. RNAcentral describes it as "long non-coding RNA (CANN_LNC022292)". Lineage: Eukaryota; Viridiplantae; Streptophyta; Magnoliopsida; Solanales; Solanaceae. The record is from RNAcentral.
AGGUACAGCUUACUGAGGAUAUGACCGUUGAUAGGAAAGUUUGGAGAACUCGGAUUAGGGUUGAAGGUUAGUGCAUGGAGGUGAGUCGUACCAAGUAGUUAAGUGCGCUUUAGGGUAGCUUGAUAGUGGUUGUAUGUCUUUGCUUAUGGAAUGGAGUCUCUAGGUAUGUGGGUUGGUUAGUGUAUCGUACUACUUUGUGGGUGCCUUAUUUCUUAUUUCUGUUAUUUCACCUUGGGCAGAAAUGCGGAUGUUGCGCUGGAUGUGUGGACUGACCCGAAGGGAUAGAGCUCGGAAUGAGACUAUCCGGGAGAAGGUUGGGGUGACUUCAGUGGAGUGUAAGAUGCGGGAAGCACGAUUGAGAUGGUUCGGACACGUGAAGAGGAGGGGCAUGGAUGCCCCGGUCCGUAGGUGUGAGAGGCUAGCGUUGGAUGGUUUUAGACGGGGUAGGGGUAGACCGAAGAAGUACUGGGGUGAGGUGAUUAGGCGGGACAUGGAACAGUUACAGCUUACCGAGGACAUGACCCUAGAUAGGAAGGUCUGGAAGACGCGAAUUACGGCAGAGGAUUAGGGCCUGUUCGGGUCGCUAAUGUAGGGAGGUAAUUGGUGGGGGUGUAUUCCUGGUAUGAUUCCGUAUUCAAUGUUCUGUUCCGUGUUCCGUGUUCUAUGUUUGUUACGAAUCUGUGUGCUUUCCUCUGCUUUAUAUUCCUGCAUCCCUGCUUUACUCUGUUUUAUAUUCCUUAUGGCUGCAGUAUCUAUGUUAUGUCAUCUGCUUCUGUGCUGUACUAUGUGUUUGUUUGAUAUCUCGUAACUUGAGCCGGGGGUCUUUCGGAAACAGCCUUUCUACUUCAUCAGAGGUAGAGGUAUGGACUGCGUACAUCUUACCCCCCCCAGACCCCACAAAGUGGGAAUACACUGGGUUUGUUGUUGUUGUUGUUGUUGUUGUUAUUUCACCUUGUUUCAUGUUUCUUGUUGCAUGUUCCAUGUUUCAUGUUUCAUGUUUUA